ACUUUCUUUUGGUAUUUUCAUUUUAAUAGAGAAAUAAAAUGCUAACACAAGCAAACAUCAAUGAAUUAAAAAGACAUGAACACAUAUAUAACUAUCUAGCAUUUAACAGAGGAAGGAGACUGAAUUAUGUGACAGGAAAUAGAUGAUUCACAGCACAAACACACACAUACUAUAUAUAUAUAUAUCACAUGAACUUGAUCUAACACUUGGAUUAUAAAAUGGAACAAGUUCACAAGAUUGAACACAAACACAAGCUUGCAGAUUACUAACUCACAAAGCAAAAUCACAUAGACCAAACAUUAUACAUAGCAACUAGGCCUAACAUUUCAGAGAACACAAGAUGUAACAUGAUAUUACAAGUAUGAAACUGAACCAAAUCUGAAUAUUACAUAAUUCUGAACAUCACACUUCUCAAGUUUACAGAAAUUUGGGAGAGAGGGAGAGAGAUAACAGCAGCAACUAGUUGAAGGAAAAGAAGAGCUUCAGGUUAGGAGCAGCAGCAACAACGGUUUGGAGAGGGAGCAUCAGCAGGUCAAGGAAGAAGGAGCAACAGCAGAUCGUGGGAAAAGGAGCAACAACAGAGACGAGUGGAGAGGGAGCAGUAGCAGAUACGAGGGGAGAGGGAGCAGAAACUGAUACGAGGGGAGAAGGAUCAGCAGCAGAUCCAACAGGGACGUGGGGAGAGGGAGCAACAAGGGGGCGCUGGAGAGAGGAGCAGCAGUAGGGGAUGGGGAUCAGAGGACGGCGCUGGUGUGGAUGGUGGUGCUGGAGUGGAUGGACGGUUGGGUGGCGCCGGUGGCACGAUGGACGGAUGCAUGGAGAUGGUGGUACAGGGUGGUGUUGUUGGCGCACCUACCACGCCGGCAUGGCCGUGGUGGCGACUGGAGGUGGAGAAGGAGGGGUCAGGGAAGAAGAAGAUGGAGGUACUAGGCCCGAAGGGGAUCGAAGGCUUCUCUAGGGAUUUUGACCCCUCACGACUGAUUUCCUCCUUUGCAAUUUGGUCCCUCUACUUUUCUUCUUUCUGCACAAGUUGAUCCUCCCCUUGUUUAGUUUGACCCCUCN
RNAcentral lists this long non-coding RNA (1062 nucleotides) under Hordeum vulgare. RNAcentral describes it as "long non-coding RNA (HVUL_LNC018756)". Lineage: Eukaryota; Viridiplantae; Streptophyta; Magnoliopsida; Poales; Poaceae. The record is from RNAcentral.